Molecule: ribosomal RNA, 450 nt
Filed under: uncultured bacterium
Lineage: Bacteria
Description: partial 16S ribosomal RNA
Rfam family: Bacterial small subunit ribosomal RNA
Source: RNAcentral
CCUACGGGGGGCUGCAGUAAGGAAUAUUGGUCAAUGGACGAAAGUCUGAACCAGCCAUCCCGCGUGCAGGAUGAAAGCCCUAUGGGUUGUAAACUGCUUUUAGCAGAGAAGAAAAGCUUCAAUUUAUGGGGGUCUGACGGUAUCUGCAGAAUAAGCACCGGCUAACUCCGUGCCAGCAGCCGCGGUAAUACGGAGGGUGCGAGCGUUAUCGGGUAUUACUGGGUUGUAGGGGUGCGAAUAAGGCGUUUGUGAAAUCUUGUCGCUUAACGAUAAAAUUGCCAAUGAUACUGGUACUCUUGAAGUGGGUUGAGGUUAGCGGAAUGUGACAUGUAGCGGUGAAAUGCAUAGAUAUGUCAUGGAACACCAAUUGCGAAGGCAGCUAACUGGGCCUUGAUUGACGCUGAGGCACGAAAGCGUGGGUAGCGAACAGGAUUAGAUACCCCAGUAGUC